AUGUCAAGCUCAAUUUCAUCCGAGGAGCAGCGGAAGGCGAUGAUGGCUGAUCCGGCCGUAAUUGACGAUGAUGCAGCCAGCGCGGUGCAGCAGAAGGAGGUGAUAAAGAAGAAGACGAAGAAGAAGACUUUUCGGCUGCCAGACGACGAGUUGGAGCUAAUCUUGGCUUUCAAGCCAUCCGUACAUUACCCUGAUCCCAUCUUCUCCCCGGUGCUAGAGGAGAAGCUGCCCGACACCGUUCGGGGAGUGCGGGCCACCAUGGCGAAGGCUGAUGCGCUGUUGGAAAAGAACCAUGAUUCAAUAAGCUCUGAGCAUGCGAGGAUUCAGGCGGAGUACCAGGCUAAAGGGUAUGCUGCUUACCAAGCCGAGGUCACCGACGACGAGGAAGAAAUCAUUCAAGUUCCUAGACGUGGACGGAGAAGACACCGGCCUGGAGUAGUGAAGCGUAAAGGAGAGAUCAAGAAGAUAAAUUAA
RNAcentral lists this ribosomal RNA (474 nucleotides) under Triticum aestivum (bread wheat). RNAcentral describes it as "partial small subunit ribosomal RNA". Lineage: Eukaryota; Viridiplantae; Streptophyta; Magnoliopsida; Poales; Poaceae. The record is from RNAcentral.